GAGCUGAGACCGUUGCAGAAGAACUGUUUGCGCUUUAGAAUCAGCCUUUUAUCGAAUUGGAACACUUAUGUUGGAUGGUUGACGUGAAGCAGGUGCUCCAAGAGAUAUUUGUUUAUUGAGAGAUUGCUUUUUAAAGAGGAAAUACCUUUCCGAAGUUAUGGCGCAAGCAUUAAGAUGUAGUAAGCGUCGCGUUACCAUGAUGAGCAUUGCUUUUUAACGUUAAACGUAGUUCAACUCCUUGAAACACGUGUUGAGAGUUUCCGUUCCACUCCGUCGUGAUGUUUUCGAACGCAAGGAACGCGCCCUGUGUGGACAGCCCCGCUGUGGCUGAAGAGGAGGUCCUGGACAGUUUCAGAUGUGGAUGCCGUCGGGUCUCUUCUGGUCUCUCUGGUGCAGUGGUUCUUAACAGUUCAACAGUUCUAUCUCAAAAUUGUGAAAUGUUUAGGACCACUUGAUCAGGGAGACACUGGCACUGGCUUAGAGCAAAGAUGACACGAUAAUGUGCUUUGAGACGAUUCCUUAGAUCUAUAAAUGUUUUACAACUUUUCAAAUGUUUAAACAGGUGUGCAAACGCUUGAGAUGGGAUUAUGCUGCAUUAUGACGUAAUUUACCCCAGUUUAAAUUGUUAUAAAGAGUAACAUAUUUUCUAGUUUUCGUUGUUUCUGACGCUGAAGACAUGCUGUAUUUUAACAACCCGAUCUCAUGAAAGUGCGUAUCAAUAGCACGAGUUCAUGUUUCGAUUUGGCGUACUAUUUAUACGCAGAAAUUGACUUUGGCGUGCAUAUGAUACACAAUGGGCAGGAUUAGGUUUGUGGGGUAGAUGAGUAUCAUAUGCACGCCAAAGUUAGUUUCUGCGAAUCAAUAGCACGAUUUUCUGUUUGUAUUUGGCGUACUAUUUAUGCAUUUUCAUUUAUAGUUCGAAGUGUAGCCUAUGCUUUUGACUCAUCAUUCUCUUCAGCGUAAAGUUUGGACUUUCAUUUUGAAUGAAAUAUAUAUAUAUAUAUAUAUAUAUAUAUAUAUAUAUAUAUAUAUAUAUUAUUAUUAUUAUUAUUAUUAUUUUAUUAUUUUAUUUUUUUUAAGUUUUUGGAGUUUGGAGGUGCAUGUUCUAACCUACAUUUAAACUUGGGACAGGUUAGGCUAUUUGAAUGUGGCCACCAAUGUGACGUUUAAUUCAAUGUGU
Molecule: long non-coding RNA, 1180 nt
Organism: Cyprinus carpio carpio
Lineage: Eukaryota; Metazoa; Chordata; Actinopteri; Cypriniformes; Cyprinidae
Source: Ensembl